UGGUUAUCAUAAUCUUCCUUUAGGGUUUAUUUGUUGUUGUGAAUACGAAUUGAAGUUGCCGUUAAAUUUUUUUGAAGACGAAGAAUUUGAGUAAACAUAUGGUGAAGAGUGUUUGGAGGCAAUCUUGAAAAGGCUUGAAUCAAAGGUUUCUAACCCCAAUUGUUUCAAAGAGAGUGCAUAGCUGCAUCUCGAAGAUAGACAAUCUUGGUUUUCUGACUUCCAGGAGAGAAGCAAAGAAGGAAGAGGGAAGAAGAUUUUAGCUUUGGUAAGGGACACUUACAGCCAUUUUUUCUGAAAGCAUGGAACAAUUGU
Molecule: long non-coding RNA, 312 nt
Organism: Papaver somniferum (opium poppy)
Lineage: Eukaryota; Viridiplantae; Streptophyta; Magnoliopsida; Ranunculales; Papaveraceae
Exons: 4
Source: RefSeq, a predicted model, not a curated record